This 76-nucleotide transfer RNA is filed under the name Vibrio nitrifigilis. RNAcentral describes it as "Vibrio sp. NFV-1 tRNA-Lys". It matches the Rfam family "tRNA". Rfam says of the family: Transfer RNA (tRNA) molecules are approximately 80 nucleotides in length. Their secondary structure includes four short double-helical elements and three loops (D, anti-codon, and T loops). Further hydrogen bonds mediate the characteristic L-shaped molecular structure. tRNAs have two regions of fundamental functional importance: the anti-codon, which is responsible for specific mRNA codon recognition, and the 3' end, to which the tRNAs corresponding amino acid is attached (by aminoacyl-tRNA synthetases). tRNAs cope with the degeneracy of the genetic code in two manners: having more than one tRNA (with a specific anti-codon) for a particular amino acid; and 'wobble' base-pairing, i.e. permitting non-standard base-pairing at the 3rd anti-codon position. The record is from RNAcentral. Lineage: Bacteria; Pseudomonadati; Pseudomonadota; Gammaproteobacteria; Vibrionales; Vibrionaceae.
GGGUCGUUAGCUCAGUUGGUAGAGCAGUUGACUUUUAAUCAAUUGUCACAGGUUCGAAUCCUGUACGGACCCACCA